Molecule: long non-coding RNA, 227 nt
Filed under: Elaeis guineensis (African oil palm)
Lineage: Eukaryota; Viridiplantae; Streptophyta; Magnoliopsida; Arecales; Arecaceae
Description: long non-coding RNA (EGUI_LNC035741)
Source: RNAcentral
ACCUGAUUGAACCAAAUUCAAUCAGACUUGAUCUAGACUUUAAUGCUCAAUAAAAUUGAGCUAAUUAGUAAUCUAAUCAUUAAUUAAUCUUUUAUUAAUGAUAAAGUCUAAGUCUAAUGGGACUCUUCUCAAGAGUUCCCAUCCAGUGGGACUCUUCAGCAGAGUCCCCGUCAAGUGGGAUUCUUCACCAGAGUCUCCGUUGACUGAGACUCUUCAGAAUAGCCAAG